Sorghum bicolor (sorghum) is the source of this 591-nucleotide long non-coding RNA. RefSeq lists it as uncharacterized. The record is from RefSeq and is a predicted model, not a curated record. The transcript is spliced from 2 exons. Lineage: Eukaryota; Viridiplantae; Streptophyta; Magnoliopsida; Poales; Poaceae.
GUUAUUUGCCGAGCGCUAUAAAUCGGGCGCUCGGCAAAGGCCACCUUUGCCUAGCGCAGGACUCUCGGCAAAGACAGCGCUCGGCAAAGAUUUCUUUGCCGAGGGUAGUGCCCUCGGCAAACGGAGACGCUCGGCAAAGAACGUCUUUGCCAAGCACCAGACGCUCGGCAAAGGCCCGCUCUUGGCAAAGGACAUCUUUCCCAAGCGCCAAGCGCUCGGCAACGGCUUGCACUCGGCAAAGAGAUAACACAUGUGUAUCGAAUCUCCGAAUUCGACGGUUCAAAAAUUGAUAUUCGCUUUACAUAGCGUAUGUUAAGGCCAUAUCCAGGAGCACGCAUGAAAUAUCGAACAUCUCGCGCACGGAACACGGCGACCAAGUUGCGCGUGAAGUGCUAUUAAAUUAUAUAAAAUGCAAAUGAAGUCGAAAAAUUACAUAACUUAGCGACACGUCUUUGGAACACAUGUGGAUGCUAUGGUAAAAAUUUGGUAAAGUUUCGUGCAUGUUAUCACGGAAGUUAGUUAGAAACCUAGACAUCUCUCGUGUGUAAAUAUUAUCCAUUUGGAUUAAUAACGCAGAUCCACGCAGACCAA